CGUGAGGAACCUGCCUUGGCGAGGGGAAUAACACUCCGAAAGGAGUGCUAAUACCGCAUGAUGCAGUUGGGUCGCAUGGCUCUGACUGCCAAAGAUUUAUCGCUCUGAGAUGGCCUCGCGUCUGAUUAGCUAGUAGGCGGGGUAACGGCCCACCUAGGCGACGAUCAGUAGCCGGACUGAGAGGUUGACCGGCCACAUUGGGACUGAGACACGGCCCAG
Molecule: ribosomal RNA, 219 nt
Filed under: uncultured bacterium
Lineage: Bacteria
Description: partial 16S ribosomal RNA
Rfam family: Bacterial small subunit ribosomal RNA
Source: RNAcentral